RNA transcript from Bactrocera dorsalis (oriental fruit fly), 2577 nucleotides. RefSeq lists it as uncharacterized. The transcript has 2 exons. Lineage: Eukaryota; Metazoa; Arthropoda; Insecta; Diptera; Tephritidae. The record is from RefSeq and is a predicted model, not a curated record.
CUUGAUAAACGAAGCUCAGCUGUUGUCCAAAUAUGUAGAUAAUACUCAACAAUUUGCUUUCUAUAUAUUUACUGAUGUAUAUAUUAUCAUAUCACUGAAUUCUCUUAUACCCGAAAGAAACCAGUUUGCUGCUCUCAUGCCAAUACUCGGUACUCUCAUGCUCUUUUCAAGCCUCAGCGCGCUGAUAUUUGCCCAUUUGUCCCACAGUACAUCAAAACAAACUCACCUGGUGAGCAGCGCUUUGCACUACGGAUUGGCUUAAAAUAGCCACUAGGGUGGUUACUCAGGCUGGCUUACAGAUGUAGGCUAACUGUGCGGCCGGUAAGAGGCGCAAUAACUGAUCAGCGCUCUGACACUCUGCUACGUUUAAAAAUAUCGCUUCGUUCUCUGAUAAUUGCUAUUGCUGUUGUUGUCAGGUCACUCUCGCUCUCUACUGUGGUUAAAAUUAAAAUACUCGUAUAUGUUUCACCUGUAUAAAAAAUCGAAAUGGUGAGCAACAACAACGCACAACAACAACGGCGGACAGCAGAAGCGACCGUUUUGAGUCAACGCGAAGAAGAAGUAACAAAGCAAUAACAACAACAGCGCACAUGAUACGAGUAUAUGCUUUAGUCAGCCAGCCAUGCAGGCGAGUGUAUGUGUGUCAGUAUGUACAUUUACUAUAUGUGUGUUGACGGCAGGUAAGCAGGUAAGCAAAGGCAAAAGGCAACAGCAACACAGCGCUGCGAGGUUCGUCUGCGGCAAAGCACUGCUGUCCAAUCAGUCUGAACUCGGUUACCGACAACGAUGAAACAUACGGCGGCGCUUGAGUGACUUACUAUUCGGCUUUAGUUGGACUCGUUGGUUGGUUCUUCUUCGCAUUUCGUUCAUUUCCUGAUCGCGUCGCGUACACCUUCGACGCGCUUACCUCGCCAAUACAUCGACCACCACUCCAAGCACAGGGGCGACAAUUGGUCGUACGUCCCCACGAAUUUCCAACUUUUAAUGAAAUAUUUUUUGUGUGAUUUUCGAAAUUUCGCAUUGACAUUCCACAAGCGCUUUCGGUGUCUGCAGCGCCUGCAAGCCGUCGCGUUUAAGUAAAAAGAAAAAUAUUAAUUAAUUGCAACAACAAUUCGCAUGAUUCGCAUGAAUGCCUGCGAAAGUAAAGAAAGUGAGUUAUCUGAUUGCUGAAGGGGGAAAGAAAUCUUAAGGAAAUAUUUACCCAAAGCAAAUGCAAUGAAUUGUGCAAAGUGACAAAGUAAACGCAGGAAGUUGGAUGCGAAUUUGUGUGGCGCUGUGCUUUGCGUGGGCGAGCUUGAGCAGGCAGACUCCGAGCCGUCGCUAAACGGCCGCCAAGAGAAAAGCAAAUAUUUGCGGACCAAAAUAAAAUACUUCGGCGCGUCUAAGUUGUUUUUAUGGAAAAUUAUUGAAAUUGAAAUACACUAAUUAUGUUGACAGCAACAAAUCAACAAAGCGAGGCACGAAUUAUCGAAAAUCCGACGCGCUAAACAGUAAUAAUUUCUUGUAAAUAAUUGUUUUCCCCACAGCGAUUGUGCUUUAAUAGUGCCUACUGACCAACAAACGUUUAUAUGCAUGUGUGUAUUAAAUUUUUUGACAUAACAGCGUUAAGUGAUCUGAAAAACGCCAAGAUUUUUAAAAUAAACAAAUGUAUUUUUAAGUGAUCAAGUGCCUUUCGCAUAUGCCUUUUAAAAAAAAUUUAUUUUAUAAAAGUAAAAUUAAACGCAGUGGCAACUUUGGUGUUUAUAUAAUUGAAAUAUUCAAUAAAAAUACAAAAUAAAUAAUAAAAUAAAGAUACAUAGAAUAAAUUUUACUGAUAAAUUUGUCAAAGUGGCAGCUUGCUGCUGCGACGCCGCUCAAAAGCAAACGUAACGGAGUUUUCAGAAAAGUGUUUUAAAUGCAUACGGAUAUCAUAAUUGGCGAUCAAUUUGUGCCAUCAACAAAUUAUUGGGUAAUGCAGGUAUGUACACGUUAAACGUUUCAUUAAAGUCAUCUCUGAAGAUUCUACAACCUAACAAAGUAUGUGAGUAAUAUUGAAAAAAAAAAAUGGCACACAGCUGAGAAUUUAUAGCAUUGCCAUUCUUCUUGCUUGCAGCAAUCUAAGUUAGAAAGCAAAAACAAUUGGCUAAAAUUAGCUACAAUCGAUAAUUUGAAUAUACUUGCAACAUAUCUAAGAUAUAUGUGCGGAACAGUUGUUUUUUCGCAACUAAAAUUUAGACACCAAAUUGGCAACUAUGCACAGAGAAGCACAACACCCCCUCAGGGUAAUUAACAUAUGCGCACGAUUUUCAAAACCAAUAACAGUUGCAAUAAAGCAUUUACACACACAAAAAUUGCGCAGGCAAUAACAAGAAAAUAAUGAUAAUAAAUUAGUAGACAUGCGAAUUGCAAUUCUCCAAAUGCUGUACGUGUUGGCGGGCACCAGCGCGACCCCAACCCCAGCCAUGGCAGCGGUCAGUCAGAUGACGAACACAGCGACGAUCGUCGUGAUGGCCAACAGCGAAUUGCAGCAAAUUGUUGUAAUCCAACGGAAAACAAGUGAAACAAAAAUUAAAAAAAAAAAUAAAAAAAAAGAUUAAA